UGAGGAAUAUUGGUCAAUGGACGCAAGUCUGAACCAGCCAAGUAGCGUGCAGGAUGACGGCCCUAUGGGUUGUAAACUGCUUUUAUAUGGGGCUAAAGUGGGGAACGUGUUCCCUUUUGCAGGUACCAUAUGAAUAAGGACCGGCUAAUUCCGUGCCAGCAGCCGCGGUAAUACGGAAGGUUCGGGCGUUAUCCGGAUUUAUUGGGUUUAAAGGGAGCGUAGGCCGUUUGGUAAGCGUGUUGUGAAAUGUAGGAGCUCAACUUCUAGAUUGCAGCGCGAACUGUCAGACUUGAGUGCGCACAACGUAGGCGGAAUUCAUGGUGUAGCGGUGAAAUGCUUAGAUAUCAUGAAGAACUCCGAUUGCGAAGGCAGCUUACGGGAGCGCAACUGACGCUGAAGCUCGAAGGUGCGGGUAUCGAACAGG
Molecule: ribosomal RNA, 424 nt
Filed under: Verrucomicrobiota bacterium
Lineage: Bacteria; Pseudomonadati; Verrucomicrobiota
Description: Verrucomicrobia bacterium partial 16S ribosomal RNA
Rfam family: Bacterial small subunit ribosomal RNA
Source: RNAcentral